RNAcentral lists this long non-coding RNA (1815 nucleotides) under Aplysia californica (California sea hare). Its description in RNAcentral is "uncharacterized LOC118478259". The record is from RNAcentral. Lineage: Eukaryota; Metazoa; Mollusca; Gastropoda; Aplysiida; Aplysiidae.
AAGACCGGGGUUAUGGUUUUGGAAACGUUACAAGUUCCAUCGUAAAGUACGAGAAACACUCAGGAAAUAAUUAUUCUUACAAAAAAGCAACAACCUUGAACAAUUCUAAACUUGCAAGCUUAUUUUUUUUAUGAAUCCCCCAAGAGUGAAACUGUUCAUUCAUUACAUUCAAGCGAAAAAUUAUAUUCAUCAUUUCCUUAACAAGAAGGAAUUUUUCAGAAAGAAGUAAAACAUAGAUUACGUCACGAUUGAACCCAUGAUAUUAUAUUCUAUCUUUCUGUCAAUAUAAUAUAAACCAUGUCUCAGAGCCUUUUAACAACAGCUAAACCAAAUAACUUAAUUUCAAAAUCUGAGCAGAUUUAGGUAUCUGUGACUCAGGGUUGUGACUUUUCACUUUGCACAAAGACACUCAAAAUAAUAAUGAUAAAAUGAUUUCAGUCUGUACAUAUUAUUAUCAGGGCAGUAUGGUUGAAAACUGAGUUCUCGACGCAGUAAGGAAGUAUGAGACCACAUUUUUGCCUCAGAACAAAAACUGUCAAUAAAAGGCUGAAAACAAAUCACGCCUAACCAAAACAAAGCAGGGAAACAAACUCAUAGAAAUGCACUUAUCAGUGGAGCCCAACAGAAAAAAGCGCACGCAAAACUGGCAAGAACAAUAGGAAUAGACGAUCACAUGCACAAUUUUAUUGGACGCCGGCAUAAAAGUUCAUUACAUCUGAAAGAAUGAAUGGAGAUCGUGAGAUCCCCAGCUAGCAAUAAAGCGAUUUAGCCAGGAGAGAUAUGGAACUGUGCGCGGGACCCCCACUACUGCAAAGUCUUUGGAGCAGGGACGGAUAACUCCUUCGGACGCGUGUUCGCAUUCAUCUCCCUUACACCGCGCGUGCUAAAUCCGGCGCGUGUCGCGCGCGUGCGAGACCGUGCUACAAAGAGGCGCAGGUACUCGAAACGGCACGCGAUGGGACAUUUAACUAACGAUAGUCCAUUAUCGCACGUCAAGACAGUUUCUCCCCUCGUCCAGCGGUGCGUGAAGGAUAUCUCACGCUUCUCUUAGUCCCUGUGUAGAGGCCGCUUGCUUGCCUCCCUCGCCACCGACGCCCAAGGCUCAAGCGAGUUGGGAGGACAACAUCAAGAAAGGGAGAGGCAUGGACCUCAAAGACACACUCAGGAAAGCUGAAGACGGACGGUGUUGAGGAAGCUGGUGGCCAAAUCUUCAAAAGUGCACCGACGGACAUCCAGUCUACGGGAUAGAUGAUGAUUUAAAGAACAUCAAACAGACGGAAUGCGUAACAAGAGUGUAGUCUUGAACUAGGGGAGAAAACCUGAGAACGCAUCACAUUUCAUCCCCUGCUCCACGCCUUAGAAGUCAAAACGGGCCAUGUUCGAUAAUGUGGUCUUUCCAUAUUGACUGUCUUCUAAUACACCUCAUGUGGAUCAGUCUAUAUUUCCUGUAGUUUAGAAUGAGGAUAUGAAAUUGCUUUACACUGAAAAAGAAAUAACCAUGUGUUUUCCAGCUGUACACAAAGACAGAGUCAAAGUUAGGGGCUUAACCGUUGUAUCUAUUAUGUCUCCUGGUUGAAGUUCAGAAGAAAAAAAAAAAAACACUGUUAAGAUUGAAAUCACUGAGUUGCAUCUGAAUCACACAGGAUGGUUUUCCAAGAAAAAUCCAUGAACAAAUGUUGGUGGAAUACAUUGUAGAACUACAGACUGAACACAUACUUGUUCCUCUGCUUUGUAAAUCCAUAAUCUCUUGAGAUCAAAAUGAAGCUGAUAUGUUUUUGACAUACACACAAACACACACAUACACACACACACACA